UCCAAAGAACCUAUCUUCCCAUCCAAACCAGAAACUAGACACUGCAACUGCCACAGCUCUGAGCCAAUUUGUGAUAUAUUCUCAGAAGCAGCAUUAACGUCAUUUUGAAUCGCCUUUGAGAUCUCUUUUUGACUCUCCAUUUUAUCAUCCAAAAGUUGUAUUCGCUGUGUCAAAUGUACCUUUGCAGCAGAUAAAGCCUCAGAUACUUGCUCCAGAUGCUUCGUCAAGUUUG
This 232-nucleotide unclassified non-coding RNA is filed under the name Hevea brasiliensis (rubber tree). Lineage: Eukaryota; Viridiplantae; Streptophyta; Magnoliopsida; Malpighiales; Euphorbiaceae. The record is from RNAcentral.